UUGUUGGGUAGGGGAGCGUUCUGUAAGCCUGUGAAGGUGGCCUGUGAGGGUUGCUGGAGGUAUCAGAAGUGCGAAUGCUGACAUAAGUAACGAUAAAGCGGGUGAAAAGCCCGCUCGCCGGAAGACCAAGGGUUCCUGUCCAACGUUAAUCGGGGCAGGGUGAGUCGACCCCUAAGGCGAGGCCGAAAGGCGUAGUCGAUGGGAAACGGGUUAAUAUUCCCGUACUUGGUGUUACUGCGAAGGGGGGACGGAGAAGGCUAUGUUGGCCGGGCGACGGUUGUCCCGGUUUAAGCGUGUAGGUGUGUGUUCCAGGUAAAUCCGGUUCACUUUAACACUGAGGCGUGAUGACGAGGCACUACGGUGCUGAAGCAACAAAUGCCCUGCUUCCAGGAAAAGCCUCUAAGCAUCAGGUAACAUCAAAUCGUACCCCAAACCGACACAGGUGGUCAGGUAGAGAAUACCAAGGCGCUUGAGAGAACUCGGGUGAAGGAACUAGGCAAAAUGGUGCCGUAACUUCGGGAGAAGGCACGCUGACACGUAGGUGAAGUGAUUUACUCACGGAGCUGAAGUCAGUCGAAGAUACCAGCUGGCUGCAACUGUUUAUUAAAAACACAGCACUGUGCAAACACGAAAGUGGACGUAUACGGUGUGACGCCUGCCCGGUGCCGGAAGGUUAAUUGAUGGGGUCAGCGCAAGCGAAGCUCCUGAUCGAAGCCCCGGUAAACGGCGGCCGUAACUAUAACGGUCCUAAGGUAGCGAAAUUCCUUGUCGGGUAAGUUCCGACCUGCACGAAUGGCGUAAUGAUGGCCAGGCUGUCUCCACCCGAGACUCAGUGAAAUUGAACUCGCUGUGAAGAUGCAGUGUACCCGCGGCAAGACGGAAAGACCCCGUGAACCUUUACUAUAGCUUGACACUGAACAUUGAGCCUUGAUGUGUAGGAUAGGUGGGAGGCUUUGAAGCGUGGACGCCAGUCUGCGUGGAGCCGACCUUGAAAUACCACCCUUUAAUGUUUGAUGUUCUAACGUGGACCCGUAUCCGGGUUGCGGACAGUGUCUGGUGGGUAGUUUGACUGGGGCGGUCUCCUCCUAAAGAGUAACGGAGGAGCACGAAGGUUGGCUAAUCCUGGUCGGACAUCAGGAGGUUAGUGCAAUGGCAUAAGCCAGCUUGACUGCGAGCGUGACGGCGCGAGCAGGUGCGAAAGCAGGUCAUAGUGAUCCGGUGGUUCUGAAUGGAAGGGCCAUCGCUCAACGGAUAAAAGGUACUCCGGGGAUAACAGGCUGAUACCGCCCAAGAGUUCAUAUCGACGGCGGUGUUUGGCACCUCGAUGUCGGCUCAUCACAUCCUGGGGCUGAAGUAGGUCCCAAGGGUAUGGCUGUUCGCCAUUUAAAGUGGUACGCGAGCUGGGUUUAGAACGUCGUGAGACAGUUCGGUCCCUAUCUGCCGUGGGCGCUGGAGAACUGAGGGGGGCUGCUCCUAGUACGAGAGGACCGGAGUGGACGCAUCACUGGUGUUCGGGUUGUCAUGCCAAUGGCACUGCCCGGUAGCUAAAUGCGGAAGAGAUAAGUGCUGAAAGCAUCUAAGCACGAAACUUGCCCCGAGAUGAGUUCU
Molecule: ribosomal RNA, 1608 nt
Filed under: Salmonella enterica subsp. enterica serovar Heidelberg str. 41573
Lineage: Bacteria; Pseudomonadati; Pseudomonadota; Gammaproteobacteria; Enterobacterales; Enterobacteriaceae
Description: bacterial LSU rRNA
Rfam family: Bacterial large subunit ribosomal RNA
Source: RNAcentral